Molecule: ribosomal RNA, 671 nt
Filed under: Bacillus sp. B65.1
Lineage: Bacteria; Bacillati; Bacillota; Bacilli; Caryophanales; Bacillaceae
Description: bacterial SSU rRNA
Rfam family: Bacterial small subunit ribosomal RNA
Source: RNAcentral
GAUGUUAGCGGCGGACGGGUGAGUAACACGUGGGUAACCUGCCUGUAAGACUGGGAUAACUCCGGGAAACCGGAGCUAAUACCGGAUAGUUCCUUGAACCGCAUGGUUCAAGGAUGAAAGACGGUUUCGGCUGUCACUUACAGAUGGACCCGCGGCGCAUUAGCUAGUUGGUGGGGUAAUGGCUCACCAAGGCGACGAUGCGUAGCCGACCUGAGAGGGUGAUCGGCCACACUGGGACUGAGACACGGCCCAGACUCCUACGGGAGGCAGCAGUAGGGAAUCUUCCGCAAUGGACGAAAGUCUGACGGAGCAACGCCGCGUGAGUGAUGAAGGUUUUCGGAUCGUAAAGCUCUGUUGUUAGGGAAGAACAAGUGCGAGAGUAACUGCUCGCACCUUGACGGUACCUAACCAGAAAGCCACGGCUAACUACAUGCCAGCAGCCGCGGUAAUACGUAGGUGGCAAGCGUUGUCCGGAAUUAUUGGGCGUAAAGGGCUCGCAGGCGGUUUCUUAAGUCUGAUGUGAAAGCCCCCGGCUCAACCGGGGAGGGUCAUUGGAAACUGGGAAACUUGAGUGCAGAAGAGGAGAGUGGAAUUCCACGUGUAGCGGUGAAAUGCGUAGAGAUGUGGAGGAACACCAGUGGCGAAGGCGACUCUCUGGUCUGUAACUGACG